CCUACGGGAGACUGCAGUGGGGAAUCUUGCACAAUGGGGGAAACCCUGAUGCAGCAACGCCGCGUGAGUGAAGGAGUAUUUCGGUAUGUAAAGCUCUAUCAGUAGGGAAGAAGAAAAACGAUACCUGACUACAAAGCCCCGACUAACUACGUGCCAGCAGCCGCGGUAAUACGUAGGGGGCAAGCGUUAUCCGGAUUUACUGGGUGUAAAGGGAGCGUAGACGGCUGUGCAAGUCUGAAGGGAAAGCCCGGGGCUCAACCGCGGAACUGCUUUGGAAACUGUAUGGCUUGAGUACUGGAGAGGCAAGCGGAAUUCCUAGUGUAGCGGUGAAAUGCGUAGAUAUUAGGAGGAACACCAGUGGCGAAGGCGGCCUGCUGGACAGAAACUGACGUUGAGGCUCGAAAGCGUGGGGAGCAAACAGGAUUAGAUACCCCUGUAGUC
RNAcentral lists this ribosomal RNA (441 nucleotides) under uncultured bacterium. RNAcentral describes it as "partial 16S ribosomal RNA". It matches the Rfam family "Bacterial small subunit ribosomal RNA", at positions 338 to 795 of the family's 1533-position model. The record is from RNAcentral.